Molecule: unclassified non-coding RNA, 960 nt
Filed under: Candidatus Arsenophonus triatominarum
Lineage: Bacteria; Pseudomonadati; Pseudomonadota; Gammaproteobacteria; Enterobacterales; Morganellaceae
Description: partial contains 16S ribosomal RNA and 16S-23S ribosomal RNA intergenic spacer; R type spacer
Rfam family: Bacterial large subunit ribosomal RNA (bases 538-960)
Source: RNAcentral
CCGUAGGGGAACUGCGGUUGGAUCACCUCCUUACCUAGAUAGAUGGAAUGUGAGUGUUCACACAGAUUGUCUGAUGAAAUAGCGCGUAAAGCCAAUCUAAGAUUGACUGAAGAGCUUGAAGUCCCCUUCGUCUAGAGGCCUAGGACUUCGCCCUUUCACGGCGGUAACAGGGGUUCGAAUCCCCUAGGGGACGCCACUUUAGUGAUUUAGAAAGGCUGUGCAUCACUAUUUUAGUGUUGUGCACCGUUCAUGCUUUACGCAAUAAUGAUUAAGCCAAUUCAAUGAGUUGGUUUAACAAUUAUGCUCUUUAACAAUUUGGAACAAGCUGUAAAUUGAAACACACAUUAUUGAAAAAUAGUGUGGAGAACUCUCAAAACUCCAAUCAGUUGGGUUUUUGUUGUCAUGAUGAAAGCGUUAUGAGCGAGCAGUCAGCCAUUCGAGACGGCCAGCGCACAGCGAGCACUGCCCAAUAAAGAAUGGGUGGAGAGGUGCCCAUAACCUAGCAAAAAGGCAGCGUAAGACACCUUCGGGUUGUGAGGUUAAGCGAAUUAAGCGUACACGGUGGAUGCCUAGGCAGUCAGAGGCGAUGAAGGACGUGCUAAUCUGCGAAAAGCGUCGGUAAGCUGAUAUGAAGCGUACUAGCCGGCGAUGUCCGAAUGGGGAAACCCAGUGCAUUGAUGCACUAUCGUUUGAUGAAUCCAUAGUCAAAUGAGGCGAACCGGGGGAACUGAAACAUCUCAGUAUCCCGAGGAAAAGAAAUCAACCGAGAUUCCCCCAGUAGCGGCGAGCGAACGGGGAGCAGCCCAGAGUCAACAUCAAAAUUUACCGCAGGAGAAGGGUCUGGAAAGGCCCGCAAUAAAGGGUGAUAGCCCCGUAUCUGAAGCGGUAAGUGUUGUGAGCUCGAAGAGUAGGGCGGGACACGUGUUAUCCUGUCUGAAUAUGGGGGGACCAUCCUCCAAA